Molecule: long non-coding RNA, 2266 nt
Organism: Papaver somniferum (opium poppy)
Lineage: Eukaryota; Viridiplantae; Streptophyta; Magnoliopsida; Ranunculales; Papaveraceae
Exons: 3
Source: RefSeq, a predicted model, not a curated record
AAAAAUUCCAGACCUUUUUUACAAGUGAGAAACCUCCAUGCAUUUAUAGAGUUCUAGUAGAUGCGUCUCUUGGGUCGAAACCCAAGUAUACAUUUAAUCACUUCCAUGAGUCUGUUCACUUGAGUGUUAACCAAUCAACACUUCUUUUCACCAAAUGAUGCUAUUUGUUCCUAACCAUUUUCUGUGAUCAAUCCCUUCAAAACACCUGUUGAUAUCAUAACUACUUUAAGGUAGUUAUUAGUCAUAACCGCCCGCAAUGUAUUUUGAAAUACAACACCAUAAUACCAACAGAACAGAGUGAACUAAUUUGUUCAAUUUCAAUGAUUUUUCCUUCAAUUUCAGUGUGUUCCGUCGAUUUUUCCCUCCUCUCUCCAUUCUCGAUCUUUCUCCUCUCCAUCGAACUCUUCUUCCUUCGAGAAUUUAUCAUCUUCAUCAAGUAACAGUACUGAUCCCAGGCCAACCAACACAAAUUUAAUCCUAAAUUUCGUUAUUGAGACUGAAGGAGAUUGGAGAUUUCAGCAGAUGGGAUUUGAAUCUGAACUGAGGAGUUGGAGAGUUGCAGAAGAUUUAAGAAAGGGGGUGUUGUUGGUUGUUACUUUCUUGAAGAGUAUUGAGCAGAAUAAGGAGAAGCUGGUGAUGAUUACUGUGUUAAUGAGUUUGAUUUCAGAGGUUAGGGUUUGGAAAAUCUGAGAUUGAACUGAAGAGAUGGUGAUGAAUUGGAAGAUGGGUUGUGGUUGAUUUGAUGAGAAAGAAGAUGGAUGUGCUGUAGCUAGGUUAAAAAGUUCAGAAUGGGUUUGAUGAUAAAUGGUGAUGGCAGUGAUUGAGAUGGAGAAUCGAAGAUAUGUGAUGUUAUUGUUAUUUUAAAUUCUGAAUUGUUUUUCGAUCAUUUUACUUUCAUUCUAAUUAAAUGCUAAUUACUGUUAAUUUUUACAGGUUGAUAAGCUUAAAAAGAAGUUAAGACAUGAAGUGUGCAUAGAGCUUUGUAGAGAGAUUUCACUCGACCUUUGGGAGCUUUACCUCGUUUGCCUCCUUAUCUCCCUCAAAAUGUCAGCAGCCCAACAUUCUUGAGCAGCCACCAAUGCUUUCCUAAGGGGCGAUCAUUACUCUACCCAAGAACUCUUGCGGAAGGCACAUCCAGAGUGGAUGACUGCUGAAAGUCUGAAUUUUAAGGCAGCCCAAGAAAUUUGAAGUAUAAGGAAUCACAAAAAUGAUGCAUGGAAGCUAGACCUGCAUGGUUUGCAUGCAUCUGAAGCUGUUCACGACGCCUUGAAAGAACGUCUUUGGAGGAUUGAGACUCAAUUCCCACUUACUGUGCAUCCCAAUAAAGUUGUCAAACCAAUUCAUUCCAGUAGUUACCUUAGCGUGGCCGGACAGACAGAAAAAGAGGAGGGAAUGACAUCACAGAGACCAGGGGUUUUACAAGUUAUAACAGGGGAAAUUGAGCUCGUUGUAGGUGAACUGGGAAGAAUGGAUCGAUUGCAGGUGGCUGUAGCUGCUGGCUGAGAUGCAACGAGUGGAUUUGGGUUGAAGCUGUUAACGUUUGCAGCCUUGAAUAUAGUUAGAAUCAACUCCAUGAACUAAUGAUUGCAUGCACUAGAGAGUAGUAUGCCGGUGGUCACAUGGAUCGAUUUCAGGUGGUGGUCGUUUGGGUCCAUCUGUGGCUAGAGAUGCUUAUGAGAUACCAACAAGAAGUGGACAUAUGUGCUGGCUGGAUUUUUAAGAGAUUGCAGGCAAUGUUGGUUGUUGUUUGAAUCGGCCAGUUAACAUGAAUGCAGGUGUUUCAGUCUGUAGUAACUGGUGGGUGACUUAGACGUGGAUGAACAUUGGUGAUGAAGUUCAGUUCUGCGGCCAGGGAUGGAUAUAAGAUGGUAUGGUCGGAUCUUGGGAGGAUUUGCCGGAGUUUGUGCAUCCCGUAAUGACGAGAUUUAGAAGGCUCAAGUCAAAGAAACUUUUUGCAAUCAGUGGCCAAGAAGACAGUAAGAGAUAAAAAGUGUUAUUGGAAUUGAAUUUGGUUGCAGUUGUGUUGUAGCCUGGAUGGAGAACGAAUUGGCAGCAAAAAUACUUGUGACUUAACAGCCUCCAAGAACCUCAUGUAGAUGCUAUUUCAGAUCCCAGACUAAGGCCAAAAUGUGUGAACCGAUCCAUAAGAGCAGCAAAGGCAUUUCCACUUGAUGGACUCAUACAAAGAAUGGUGGUUCCAACAAAGUCCUGCCAAUCUGGUGGCUUUUGCUGUAUAACAACAUUUAAUCAAAACCCAUCCAAAUUU